CCUACGGGAGGCAGCAGUGGGGAAUAUUGGGCAAUGGAGGAAACUCUGACCCAGCGACGCCGCGUGCGGGAUGAAGGCCUUCGGGUUGUAAACCGCUUUCAGUAGGGAAGAAGCGAAAGUGACGGUACCUACAAAAGAAGCACCGGCUAACUAUGUGCCAGCAGCCGCGGUAAUACAUAGGGUGCAAGCGUUGUCCGGAAUUAUUGGGCGUAAAGAGCUCGUAGGUCGUUUGUUACGUCGGAUGUGAAAACCUGAGGCUCAACCUCAGGCCUGCAUUCGAUACGGGCAAACUAGAGUUUGGUAGGGGAGACUGGAAUUCCUGGUGUAGCGGUGGAAUGCGCAGAUAUCAGGAGGAACACCAAUGGCGAAGGCAGGUCUCUGGGCCAAUACUGACACUGAGGAGCGAAAGUCUGGGGAGCGAACAGGAUUAGAUACCCUGGUAGUCCAGACCGUAAACGGUGGGCACUAGUUGUGGGAACCUUCCACGGUUUCUGCGACGCAGCUAACGCAUAAGUGCCCGCCUGGGGAUCGAUCGCAGNUAAACC
This 545-nucleotide ribosomal RNA is filed under the name uncultured bacterium. RNAcentral's name for it is "bacterial SSU rRNA". It matches the Rfam family "Bacterial small subunit ribosomal RNA", at positions 338 to 901 of the family's 1533-position model. The record is from RNAcentral.